UGCGGUCGUAUAAAAACUAUUCUUAAUUUUAUAAGUAAAUACGAUAUAUUUUUCCCUCUUGCAAAAUAACUUAUACACAAUAAACCACAACAAAUAUAAAAAUAAAAUAAACUAAUUUAUCUAACAAAUUAUCAAAAAUAAACCUCUUGCAAUAAAACCAACACUUGCAGCACAUACACUAUCUGUGUCCAGUUACAAAAAAUAUCAAGAUCAAGGAAUAAAAAGGUGGUUCAUAUUUCCAUUAAUAACAGAAAUAAGCUUCCGACAACUUAGUUUAUUUUUCAUAGAAUAAACUGUAAGCUUUAGAAAUUCAGUAUGAAAACAUUUUCAGAAAUAACAUUUCCCCCAAAAGUUAAAAUAUGCCAUUCAUCAAAUUUAUAGACAAAAUAAGUGCAAAGUGCACGAUACAAGCAUCUGUUGUUAUAUUCUCUAAAUUAAUACCUUGUAAUAGUACAACAUUUACAGGACAUACAAAGUAUGUGUACAGAUACAAAGGAUAUCAAGAGCAAACAAUAAAUUAAGAAAUAAUUCAUGGGGGCUUCAAUAUAUCGUGAUUUUACCACGGGUUGGCCCUUUAUGACAAAUAUUUUACCCUGAGCGAUAGCAAGGGGAAAAUAUCGGCAUAAAGGGCCAACCUGUGGUAAAAUCACGAUAUAUUCAAGCCCCAUGAAUUAUUUCGAUUCUAAUAGGACAAAUACGGCAAUUCUUUUAGAUCAAAACACUCUACGUGGAGGCAAGUAUUUCCGUUCCCAUAAAUAAACACAUUAUUAAAUUGGCGUAAAAGAACGGAACAAACUGAAUUAGUGACAUGCUUAAACUAUUUACAAAAAUGCAAUUAGAUAGUUUUGGAUGAAUUUAAAUGAUAAUUUACUUAUAUUUCUCUAAAGAUAUAAAAACAUAUGGCUUAUAACACAUCGUUUGUUGACGUGUCCUUGUUGUGAUGUUUUGGGUCUCACCAGCGUGUAUUUUCCCCGUAAAAUGCUUAUAAGCUUACAACAUUGUUCUAUGACGUCGGGAAGCUCAUUCAUAAAAAAAGAAGACGACGUGGGAGUAUAAUCGGCACAGCCCAAACAAUAUAUUCAAAUUUUACCACGGGUGUGUACCCAAAGCGUUUGAAGGACGCCAUUUUAGAAUGUAAUGUAUAUAUUUCCAUAACUGAAAAAGCUUCAAACAAAGUUUAUUUUUCACAGAAAAAAAAUAUUUUGCUUUAGAAAUUCAAAAUGAAUCAAAGUUUUAGAAAAAUUAUGAAAGUGCAAUGUUUUCAAGGUACAACCAUCUGUCUAGAUAUUACAUAAUUAAUAUUAUAAUUUCUAUGUUGAUUGUCUUUAUAUAUUUCUUCUACAAAAUAUUUUAGAACAGUACAAAAUCUAUAUAUUAGAAAAGACAAAAGUUUGAAAUCAUUAAGAUGUAUCAGGUUUUUUUUUAAAUGACAAUUUAUGUUGUUUGGGAUAUUUUUUAAAUGCACAACUUGAGAAAAUUUGUUAAGUCAAAUAUACAGCCUCAUUUGAAUCUUUAGUUUCAAAAUGAAAAACAUACAGCAUAUAUUCCUUUGAUAUAUUAAAUGAAUUCAUAAAUUUCUUAGGAUUAUUUUGACAAAAAAACAACAAGAAGAGAAAUGAGUCCUUCAAGCAAAUAUUGUUUAGGCUAAAAGGGGCGGUUUGUUUCCAUGUAAAACUGGUCCUGUAUAUUUUGCUUUCCUUUUGUUAUUGUUACAGCACUAUUUGUGUCAAUAGAAAAUUUACUUUAUUGGUGGUUAAGUACCCAUACUAAAAUUCUACACACAAGUUAGAUUUUUCAUAUAGAGUUAUUUCAAUUUAAAGUAAAUCAUGGCCAUUUGAAUAUUCUAUAGACCACACAUGCAAUGACAAUGAAUUUACUAGUAUGGUAUGCUAAAAAUAUCAGAACAUUUAAUAAAUAUGUUAACAAAGCAUCUAUAUGAACAAUGACAAAAGAAAUGCCCUUUUCUACCAUAUAAAUUGUCUUAUGAUACGAUUUCAUUAAGUUAUGCACAAAACUGUUUGUUAACAUACAUAUAAAUGAAGAUAGAAUCUAAACCAAUUAAAACUAUGAGCAUUUAGAAUAUGAUUCUGAUGGUUUAAUGAACGUGACAAGACAUUAUAAAUUAACCCCUUUCACUCACAAUUUCUUACUAUAGAUAAUACCUGUCCAUCAUGUUAAGGUGGUACCCAACACUUUCCAAAAAUUAAUUU
RNAcentral lists this long non-coding RNA (2210 nucleotides) under Mytilus galloprovincialis (Mediterranean mussel). The record is from RNAcentral. Lineage: Eukaryota; Metazoa; Mollusca; Bivalvia; Mytilida; Mytilidae.